GUGAGGAAUAUUGGGCAAUGGGCGAAAGCCUGACCCAGCCACGCCGCGUGAGUGAUGAAGGCCUUCGGGUUGUAAAGCUCUGUGGGGAGGGAAGAAAAAGCGCAGGAGUAACUGCCUGUGUGUUGACGGUACCUCCUUAGCAAGCACCGGCUAACUCUGUGCCAGCAGCCGCGGUAAUACAGAGGGUGCAAACGUUGCUCGGAAUUACUGGGCGUAAAGCGCGUGUAGGCUGACAUGCAAGUCGGGUGUGAAAUCCCAGGGCUCAACCUUGGAACUGCACUCGAAACUGCACGUCUUGAGUACUGGAGAGGGAAGCGGAAUUCCGGGUGUAGAGGUGAAAUUCGUAGAUAUCCGGAGGAACACCAGUGGCGAAGGCGGCUUCCUGGACAGUAACUGACGCUGAGACGCGAAAGCGUGGGGAGCAAACAGGAUUAGAUACCCUGGUAGUCC
RNAcentral lists this ribosomal RNA (450 nucleotides) under uncultured bacterium. RNAcentral's name for it is "partial 16S ribosomal RNA". It matches the Rfam family "Bacterial small subunit ribosomal RNA", at positions 354 to 796 of the family's 1533-position model. The record is from RNAcentral.